RNAcentral lists this transfer RNA (75 nucleotides) under Marmota monax (woodchuck). RNAcentral's name for it is "tRNA.Ala". The stretch from base 6 to 66 matches the Rfam family "tRNA", at positions 6 to 65 of the family's 71-position model. From Rfam's summary of the family: Transfer RNA (tRNA) molecules are approximately 80 nucleotides in length. Lineage: Eukaryota; Metazoa; Chordata; Mammalia; Rodentia; Sciuridae. The record is from RNAcentral.
AUUUGUGUAGCUCAGUGGUAGAGCGCUUGCCUAGCAUGUGGGGGGCUCUGAGUUUAAUUCCCAGCAUUGCAAAUG